This 486-nucleotide ribosomal RNA is filed under the name uncultured bacterium. RNAcentral's name for it is "partial 16S ribosomal RNA". It matches the Rfam family "Bacterial small subunit ribosomal RNA", at positions 30 to 507 of the family's 1533-position model. The record is from RNAcentral.
AUUGAACGCUGGCGGCAUGCCUUACACAUGCAAGUCGAACGGCAGCACGGGUGCUUGCACCUGGUGGCGAGUGGCGAACGGGUGAGUAAUACAUCGGAACAUGUCCUGUAGUGGGGGAUAGCCCGGCGAAAGCCGGAUUAAUACCGCAUACGAUCCACGGAUGAAAGCGGGGGACCUUCGGGCCUCGCGCUAUAGGGUUGGCCGAUGGCUGAUUCGCUAGUUGGUGGGGUAAAGGCCUACCAAGGCGACGAUCAGUAGCUGGUCUGAGCGGGCGACCAGCCACACUGGGACUGAGACACGGCCCAGACUCCUACGGGAGCCAGCGGUGGGGAAUUUUGGACAAUGGGCGAAAGCCUGAUCCAGCAAUGCCGCGUGUGUGAAGAAGGCCUUCGGGUUGUAAAGCACUUUUGUUCGGAAAGAAAUCCUUGACUCUAAUACAGUCGGGGGAUGACGGUACCGGAAGAAUAAGCACCGGCUAACUACGUG